UACAGAGGUCUCAAGCGUUGUUCGGGUUCAUUGGGCGUAAAGGGUGUGUAGGUGGCGCGCUAAGUCGGGUGUGAAAUUUCGGAGCUUAACUCCGAAACUGCAUUCGAUACUGGCGUGCUUGAGGACUGGAGAGGAGACUGGAAUUCAUGGUGUAGCAGUGAAAUGCGUAGAGAUCAUGAGGAAGACCAGUGGCGAAGGCGGGUCUCUGGACAGUUCCUGACACUGAGACACGAAAGCGUGGGGAGCGAACAGG
This 253-nucleotide ribosomal RNA is filed under the name uncultured bacterium. RNAcentral describes it as "partial 16S ribosomal RNA". It matches the Rfam family "Bacterial small subunit ribosomal RNA", at positions 524 to 776 of the family's 1533-position model. The record is from RNAcentral.